AAAGUGUUAGCUAAUCAAUAUAUAUGUACAGGGGAAUAAAAAAUACAAAGCCCUAUAAACCACAAGUACCUUCCGUUACCACCUUUAUCAAAUGCAUAUUGAAUGAGCUUCAAUUGGUCAAGAGAAAGGGGGUUAUUUACAUAGAAAUGACCAGCUUUAAACUUAGCCUUCGCUCCCCGAGACACUUUAUCAUAAGGAGAGAGUUGGUAUCGUCCCGGCCAUCUGUUCCGUACUGGUCGUGUUGCUGGUACGCUCAUGCUAGUGGAGGUUUGGAACUCUUGCUUAAUGUCAAGUGGUUUAGCUAAAUUCUAUAUAUGUCCAAUUCAGCUAAAUUCUAUAUAUGUCCAGGGUCAAAAUUAAUUCAUUAUCAUUAAAACUAAAUUACAACUAAAGAUCGCUUAGACAAACCUCUCCCUCCUCUCGAGGUUUUGGCGUUAAAUGGAGAUCAUGUCCUCUAUCAAAUUGAAAUGAAUCGAGCGGAGUUUCACUAGUAUGUAAACUUGCUUUCACUCUACGAUCCACGGUGUCGUCAUCACUGACCAAAAUCAUUUUCUCUUCAGUUUUUGACAUUGUUUUUCCAUCCAGAGAUGUACGAUUUUGACUUUUCACAUUUGAAGGUGGAUCGGGAGCAACUGGUUGUUUGCUUGAUCCUCCGUGAUACUUUGAUGUCAACUCUCCCAAUAUUUUCUCUAUAUUUUCCAAUCUCAGAAUGAAAAUUGGAAUCAAGAGAAUGUAACUGCGAAGUUCAAAUCAAAAUGGCAAAUUAGAUUAUUGAAUAAUAAAAACCUACAUCAAAUUGAGGAACGACAUAUACACAUGUAACAUACUAUGCAUUCAGCUUAACAUUCACGAUGAACAGGAACCAACGAAAGGCACCAUCGUUAAUUGGAACAUAAAUCUAACCAAAAAAAUCAGUCACCAUCGAUAAUUGGAACAUAAAUCUAACAAACAAAAAUAAGUAUUUUUCUCAUAGAAGAUGUUUUACAAAAAGUAAAAUUGUAAUCAAUUGAGAGUGUAGAAAGUAACCUUUUGGCAAGCUCCAACGGUAAGUGCUGAUUGCUAUAAAAGAACAAUAAGUAAACAAGUGAUAUGUCAAUAAAUGCACAAGUAUUGAAAAAAAAUCUUAUUGUACAGAGCAAUGUUUGAAAAUUAUUAUAGAUAAACAACAACUUCAAUUCACAUAGAAAUAAUAGUGGUGGAUACUUACUGCAUAUAUUGUCGGUAAAUACCAAUUUAUUGGUGCAUCACUCCAUUUAGCCCAAGCAUGAAAGGUUUUCCGACACUUGCUACUUGUGCAAAACCAUCAAUGUCAGCUCCAACGGUAAGUGCUGAUUGCUAUAAAAGAACAAUAAGUAAACAAGUGAUAUGUCAAUAAAUGCACAAGUAUUGAAAAAAAAUCUUAUUGUACAGAGCAAUGUUUGAAAAUUAUUAUAGAUAAACAACAACUUUAAUUCACAUAAAAAUAAUAGUGGUGGAUACUUACUGCAUAUAUUGUCGGUAAAUACCAGUUUAUUGGUGCAUCACUGCGUUUAGCCCGUUCAUAUAGUGUGAAGUGAUAUGCUAUCAUGGUGAGAAUCUAAAACAGUGGUCAAUAAGUGAGAACUUAGUAUUCAAUUUUGCAAUAAGGCAUCCAAACAUAUAGUACAAUGAUGUGAGUGCCAAUGCACCACAAACCUCUCCACUCAUAGCCGUGUUAGGCAAAAGGCUCAUGAAAUUAUGUCCGGAGAUAAAUUGAUCAUCAGUAGAGACAACGAUUUCGCUGAAAACACAAAUAAGUAAUAAAGUGUUAGCUAAUCAAUAUAUAUGUACAGGGGAAUAAAAAAUACAAAGCCCUAUAAACCACAAGUACCUUCUGUUACCAUCUUUAUCAAAUGCAUAUUGAAAAGGGGGUUAUUUACAUAGAAAGGACCAGCUUUAAACUUAGCCUUCGCUCCCUGAGACACUUUAUCAUAAGGAGAGAGUUGGUAUCGUCUAGGCCUUCUGUUCCGUGCUGGUCGUGUUGCUGGUACGCUCAUGCUAGUGGAGGUCUGGAAGUCUUGCUUAGUGUCAAGUGGUUCAGCUAAAUUCUAUAUAUGUCCAGGGUCAAAAUUAAUCCAUUAUCAUUAAAACUAAAUUACAA
RNAcentral lists this long non-coding RNA (2119 nucleotides) under Citrus sinensis (sweet orange). Its description in RNAcentral is "long non-coding RNA (CSIN_LNC000362)". The record is from RNAcentral. Lineage: Eukaryota; Viridiplantae; Streptophyta; Magnoliopsida; Sapindales; Rutaceae.